Rattus norvegicus (Norway rat) is the source of this 4285-nucleotide non-coding RNA. NCBI's taxonomy places the organism in Eukaryota, Metazoa, Chordata, Mammalia, Rodentia, Muridae. The record is from RefSeq and is a predicted model, not a curated record.
GGAGCCAGGAGAUGGAUCAUGGUUAAGAGCAUUUGCUUCUCUUGCAGAGGACCUGCAUUCAGCUCCAAACACCUGCACAAGGUAGUUUACGUCUGUGUAGCUUCAGUUCAGGGGAAUUAUGAGGAAUCCCUUUUCUAUCUUCUGUAGCCACUAGAUUCACAGAAGGGACACAUACAUAACAUGCAGACGAUCACUCUAACACACAAAAUAAAAAUACUCUUAUAAAAGGUGGAUACAGGAGAAUUUGGAAUGCAAUCCCAUCCCUGGAAAGUCAGAAACAGAAGAAUCCCUUGGGUUCACUGAGCAGUGAAUCUAGUCAAUUGUGAGCUCUACAUUGAGCAAGAGGCUUUGUAUCAAGAAACAAAGUAGAGGGUGAUUGAGGAAGACACAUAUGUCUUCUGACAUUGAGCCCCCCCUCUCUUUCUCUCUCUCUUCCUCUCCCUCAUCUCCCCCCCUCUCUGACUCUCUGUCUCCCUCUCUCAUACUCUCACACAAACAUACACACAAGAACAUAUAUAAUCUCUUGUAAUUGUGUGUCAGAAUUAACUCUGGAAAUGUGAGAAAACACAGAAAGUCGGUUUCAGUAAGGGUACAGUAUCUCAUAAGCCCACCCGCCACAUCUACAGGAGCUUUUAUCAAGACAUAAUAGGAUGCUAGAGAACUAAUUAUAGUAUCAUUUUUCAAACAUGACACUCUGUGGAGUUCAUAUUAAUUUAUUCCUUCAAUAAGUGUUUUAUGAAUGCAAACUUGACGAAAGUCACUGAACUAUGUGUUAAAGAUGAGAAAAGGAAAGUGUGAGAUCAAAGCCCUGCCCACCAAUGUCUUCUCGUCCAAUUAGAGAAAACUCAUAAUGCAAAAUUAUAUCUGAGGAACACAAGGGGUGUGACUGAGUGAAUGCUGUGGGUCUUAGAAUUCCAAGGCAGAAGAGCUAAUGAACACAUUAAAAAGAGGUGAGAUUUCAGUCAGCUUCUAAGAAGUGAGGGGAAUAGAGUCCAGAAUAAGCUUGGCGUCAGAAACGGGCUUUGUUUCAAAGUGGGAUUCCCAGCCCUGUAAAGAAGAAUGUCUAUCCUGGCAAGAAAUGCAUUAACAAGGCAGGAGGCAGUGUCACUGGUGGAGAUGCUUGCAGGGGCCUGGGCAUGAACUUGGCAUCAUGAGGCUGAGGAGCAAGGGAGUUGUGAAGACAGUUAAGACCGGCUCUUCCCUGAGUUAGAGACAAGGUCUCACUAUUCAGAAAGGUACAGACAUGGCACCGUGAUAAAAAGGGUCAUUUAAAAGGCUUCACAGAGGCUCUGUACUGUGAAGGAUUGAAUUCUCACUUGAAUGCCUACAUUUUCACAUCGUUUUCUUUGCAGAAAUAUUCCUUUUGAAUGGCAGACUGCAAUUGGGUAGGUUUUUUUUAAGUCACUGACCAGGAAUAUAUAAUAUUAGAAAGCACUUGUCCCGGAGGAAGAACACAGCUCACUGAGAGGUAUGAGGUGUUAUUAAAGAAGUUAUACAACUUUUCUUUUCAUAUUGGAGGGUUGCUUUUGACAAGAACCUCAAGUUCAGUCAAGGUGGAACAUGAAGGUUUAAGACUUGCACAGGGUAGACAAUUUAAAUAACUUAUGAUAUUAUUAGCCCCAAACCCAUCCACUGGGCAAUUUUUCAUAAUCACUUUGAAUGUGUACUUUUAUCGACACACCGUGCUGACUCUAGUUUGUUUCAUCUAUCUGAUUCCCACGACACUUGAUCACAAUUAUUUGAAAAAUGUUUAUAGCUAAUUUUCAAAGCCUUUCAACUUUUCUUAGCACUUUUGUCUUCCCCAAAUACACUUCAACGAAGAAGACAGAAGUCUUUUAAAUAAAUACAGUAAGACAUUUAACCUUAGUUAUUAAAUUCUGUGUGGAGUUAAUGUUAAUUCAAUUCAGUUGAAUGCACCAACUAUUUCUUGAUCUCCUACUGUUGGUAAGGAAUUACACCAGGAUUAUGAAAAGGUAUAAAAAUAAAUAAAACAUCUUUAUCUUUAAGAUUUCUACUGUCUUGGGAAAAGCAUAAGAAUUUCAGGAAUAAUAAAAGGUAGAAAACCGUGAGUCAGAUCAGGAAGUUACAAACUUUUUGUCUAACUCAAUGAGUGAGAUUUGUUUGACCUGAGUUAAGGAAGACCAUAAAGAAGAACAUGAUUAAAUACAACUUGGAAAUGAUGUAUUCUUUGGGGAUAGCAGUUACAGAUGGGCAGGAAUAAUAUGAUAGAAAUUAUUCAUCCUAGACAGAAAGAUGGUAAGAGAAAAAAAUCAAGGCGGGAAGAUAGAGGCUUUUAUCUAUGCUAGAAAGUUGCUGGGCUGGGUGUAACCUAGCAUGCUUGAGAAGGAUGUGGAAAUCAAGUGUGCACCUAAGCCAACACUUGAUUGGUUUGCUAGUACUUUGGUUGUGAUUUUACAGGCCACGGGGAAUUUUUGAGCCAGAGAGUAUCUUUCAGGAUUGUGAACUAAAUCAGAAGAAUACAGAAAUCACCAAAAAUACAUUGUAUUCAUGUCCAUUUGGGGACCAAACUAAAUUGUUAAGAAACUCCAUACUGAUUCUGUGAUGCUAAGUCUAGUGGAAAUUGCAUAAUGUUAUGCUAUAAAAAUACUUACAAUUACUUCGGAGCUAUAUGAGAACCCAGAAGAAAUUUACCUUCACUUGAAAGCAGAAGGAUGCCUUGUUCAUAUACCACAGCAAAAAUGAUGGAAAGGCAUUUCUUGGGCUUUAAAGCCUGCCUAAAAUAAGAGUCAUUUAUUUAUAAAUCUUGGUAUCUAGGAAUGCUAUAAGGUUGAAAAUGCUUGGUUUAGUUCAAAAAGACUGAGUGGUUCUCAAAUAAAGCAUUCUGUAGGUUUCACUGACAAAUUCAAAUUUAUUUCCUCUCCACCAUUCUCACAGCUAAUCAAUAGGCACUUGCAUUUUACAAAGUUAAGCUGUAAUUAAUGAAAACAAAGAUAAACAUAGUCCUUUAUAAAUCUUAUGUUACUAUUACUCUUAAAAAAUAGAAAAUAAGUUCUAUUUUUUAAUGACACCUUUGAAACAAAGGGUAAAAAACAAUACAAAUUGUGAAUUUCAUCUAAAAGUUUGUUUUAGAUAAGACAGAUUAUUGUACAUAAUAUUAAGACAAUUGGAAAAUGAGCCCAAGUUAAUCUGAUGGAGAAACAGGUCAGUUGUGUAUAGUGUACACAUGCGAUUACAAGAUCUAAUGUGUUCUAUUCAUUUAAUAGCACAUAAAUAUUAUUCAAUAAAUUGCCAAUUAGUUAGCCAUUAUGACAGUUAUAGCAUACAAUCUGUCAUGAAAUAAUUGAAUCAUUUCCAUUCUCAAACUUAGAGUAGGCAGAUACAAUGGAAAAGAGGAAGGGCAACAAGAUGAUAAACUUAUAGCUAUAUCUUCUGUUCAUAUAUAAAAAUAGAUAAGCUUCCAUAUUUGAGCAUAUGUGGCACUAGUCUUUUUCAUUGACAAGGAAACCAUUUCAGUUUUCUUAAACAUGAGAGUAAUAUCAUUAGUUUAGAAGCUGUACCUUGGCUUGGAGAUGUUGACAUCAUCCCACAAAAUUUACGUCCAAUUAUGUUGAAAUUGCUACAACAAAAAAAUACAAUCUAGCAAGGAAAAUAUUUGAUAAGCUUGUCAGUGUAGUAUAGUGACAGAUAUUGCAGAAGCCAAAAAGUUAGAUAAUUCAUUAUGCCUCAAAUCUCAUGGUCUUCUUCAUUCUCGUGUUCAGAAGAAUCUAAGCUAAGCAUUCUUAAAUCUAUAUAAAUUCUAUAUUAGCUCUGCUUUAUAAGAAAUAUUCUUUUACUAAUGUUUUAUGUUUAUUUAAAUCUCCAAAACAUGUGGUCAGGCUGGGAAUACCUAGUACAAUAUAGUCAUUUUUGUUAAAUUUUUGUGACAUUAAAGCUUUCUUGUUAUCCAUACAUUUAUAGAAUUUAAUCUACGUCCUUGUCUACUCUCUCCCCAGAUGAGAGCUAAUACAACUCAUUAUUGUCCUGGCACCCUCUGCAGGAUGGUAGACCUUUAUUUCCCAAUGUUUUACUCCUGCCUCCUACUAUUUCCUGGCUCCUUUUGUUUCAUUUUUCUAUCCUUUUCCAUAUUUUUUUGUCUCUUUGAGUAGUGCUGCCACAGAAAUCCUUAUUUUUUGGUACAGGGUGUGUGUGUGUGUGUGUGUGUGUGUGUGUGUGUGUGUGUGUGUGUGUUUGUGUGUGUGUGUGUCUGUCUGUCUGUCUGUCUGUCUGUUUGUCUGUGUGUCUAUGAGUGUGUGUGUAUGUCUGUCUGUGUGUGUAUGUGUGUCUG